CGGGAAGUAGCUCAGCUUGGUAGAGCACUUGGUUUGGGACCAAGGGGUCGCAGGUCCGAAUCCUGUCUUCCCGA
RNAcentral lists this transfer RNA (74 nucleotides) under Listeria monocytogenes. Its description in RNAcentral is "tRNA-Pro". It matches the Rfam family "tRNA". Rfam says of the family: Transfer RNA (tRNA) molecules are approximately 80 nucleotides in length. Their secondary structure includes four short double-helical elements and three loops (D, anti-codon, and T loops). Lineage: Bacteria; Bacillati; Bacillota; Bacilli; Caryophanales; Listeriaceae. The record is from RNAcentral.